Molecule: small nucleolar RNA, 266 nt
Filed under: Pseudogymnoascus destructans 20631-21
Lineage: Eukaryota; Fungi; Ascomycota; Leotiomycetes; Thelebolales; Thelebolaceae
Description: Geomyces destructans 20631-21 Fungal small nucleolar RNA U3
Rfam family: Fungal small nucleolar RNA U3
About the family: Small nucleolar RNAs (snoRNAs) are involved in the processing and modification of rRNA in the nucleolus. There are two main classes of snoRNAs: the box C/D class, and the box H/ACA class. U3 snoRNA is a member of the box C/D class.
Source: Rfam by way of RNAcentral
UAACACCUUCCCAGAUGGAAUCAUUUUCUUUAGUAAACAUCCCCAUACUGUGUUUCUCACGAAAGCCACAGAUUCCAACCUGGUUGAUGACUUAUCUCCUCGCUGCCCAAGAGUGAUACCUUUUUACUCUCGCUCUGCGCGCAAGCGUGGCGGUUUUGCUCUCGAAAGAGGCGGCUGUAUUAGAGAGUGGUGAUGAUCUUGUCCCGGUCUUGCCGUCUGCCUUUGGGCGCGUGGAUUGGGUGGGUGGUGACGGAUGUCUGACAGGC